UCGCCUCAGAACCCAAGGAAGCAGGAGAAUUGGAAGGAGAUCCAUUGUUCAGGAGAAAUAUCCAAGUAAUGUGUAGGUGAGGAGAGCUGUAUGGCAGUAGAUGAGUAUGUAUAUCCAUCUCAUGGCUGGCUUGAGAGAUCUUCAGCAUCUGCAGCGUGUGAACAGGAAGGACUUGGUGACUGGCUGAGACUAGGACUCUGUGAGUGCAAUGGCUGAAGGAGGGUGAAAUUGCACAGAGAGGAAAAAAUCAUGAUUUCAUAGCAUGCUGUCUUUGUGAUCCACUUAAAGGGAGCAGAAAAGCCCUUGAUAGAAGUAGAAUGCUUUUUGAGCUUCUGCUGCCACUGAAGUCAAUGUGUUACUAAUCAGGAUGCCACCUCCUCAUACCAUCCCCAUGGACAUGUCCAGCUCAUUCCUACUGCAGAGCUCUCCAGAGACCUGGGCAUCCAUAGCGUUGACAGCAGCAGCAUUUUUCAUGGUGAUGUCUUUGUACCUACGGGGAGAGCAGAAAAAGAUGAGACUGCGUGGCUGAAUGUGGUAAGAGAGCAGCUGGGAUACUUUGGAGUGACACUGCUGCUUGAGAUCUGCUCCCAGGCUGAGGACAGAGCAGCACUGAUCAGGCAGACAUAUUAUGCAGAUGGAUGGGCAUGGAAAAGGGACUAGGAUUUUCCCUCUGGAGACCGACCUCUUAUUGAGAUUUAUUGACGUCAGAAGGAUUGCAUAAAUACAGCCUUUAAAUCUUCAGAGGGUGCUCAUUGAAGAGUUUAACCAGGGGUUUUCUCGAGUUUUCUCUCACCAUCAGCAGUAUUAAAAGAGUUCCUCAAUGUACUUGUGAGCUAGGAUGGAAUCAGAAAUAAAAACAAGGAGUGAGUAGAAAAGCA
RNAcentral lists this long non-coding RNA (878 nucleotides) under Numida meleagris (helmeted guineafowl). RNAcentral describes it as "lncRNA (ENSNMEG00000017153.1)". The record is from RNAcentral. Lineage: Eukaryota; Metazoa; Chordata; Aves; Galliformes; Numididae.